AGAGUUUGAUUCUGGCUCAGGAUGAACGCUGGCGGCGUGCUUAACACAUGCAAGUCGAGCGAAGCGAUUUAAGUGAAGUUUUCGGAUGGAUCUUAAAUUGACUGAGCGGCGGACGGGUGAGUAACGCGUGGAUAACCUGCCUCACACAGGGGGAUAACAGUUAGAAAUGACUGCUAAUACCGCAUAAGCGCACGGUACCGCAUGGUACAGUGUGAAAAACUCCGGUGGUGUGAGAUGGAUCCGCGUCUGAUUAGGUAGUUGGUGAGGUAACGGCCCACCAAGCCGACGAUCAGUAGCCGACCUGAGAGGGUGACCGGCCACAUUGGGACUGAGACACGGCCCAA
Molecule: ribosomal RNA, 344 nt
Filed under: uncultured bacterium
Lineage: Bacteria
Description: bacterial SSU rRNA
Rfam family: Bacterial small subunit ribosomal RNA
Source: RNAcentral